This is a long non-coding RNA of Eriocheir sinensis (Chinese mitten crab), 604 nucleotides long. RefSeq lists it as uncharacterized. The record is from RefSeq and is a predicted model, not a curated record. The transcript is spliced from 4 exons. NCBI's taxonomy places the organism in Eukaryota, Metazoa, Arthropoda, Malacostraca, Decapoda, Varunidae.
ACAUGUAAACAAACAGAGUGGUGUGUGGCUGGCCGCGUGGUCUGUCUGUGACACCCUCAGCCCCACCCUGGCCAGGCGCGGCGCCCCACACAGCAGAACACUUCCGGCCACGACUCCACUCAGGGCCGCACACCAGCCCCAGCCAGGCUCCACACCCUCAGCCCCACCCUGGCCAGGGCGCGGCGCCCCACACAGCAGAACACUUCCGGCCACGACUCCACUCAGGGCCGCACACCAGCCCCAGCCAGGCUCCACACCCUCAGAGAUGGCAGAAUAAAAGAAAACUGAGUAUUAGACAUCUGGUGAGCUGCAGGAAGGGUUGGGGGCGAGGCUGUGUAUAUAUGGCUAAAAGUGUUUGCAAGACACUCCGCCAUGCCACUGGGAUCACUAACUGUUGACCCGUGCCCCAUCAGGACGUCAUUGUCUCCAGUCGUGUGGUCCAGUGAGUCACCGCUCUACCGCACGACAGUGACCCCAAGGAAGUCCCGGUCCACAGCAGGGAUGUGGCCACCCCUGGCCACAGCCCCAAGUGUUCCCUGGUGGGCCAUACUCACUGAGCUCCUCCUCCUCCUCCUCCUCCUCCUCACCUUGCUGCCGUGGAAGG